UUCUUUUCCGCAACUGUUUGCUGAAGAGCUAGCCGAUCAGGGGAGAUCACUUAACUAUUACAAGCUCACCAACCCAUCGUUCAUGUUACUGUUGCGUUCUUAAAACAUCUUUGUGGUGGCUGGAUAAAUACAAGUUGAAAUAAUGGCUUCAGACCUCCCAAGUGAUUUUGACAUUGUGGUUCUUGGUACAGGGCUUCAAGAAAGUAUUCUUGCAGCUGCUUUUUCUAGAAUUGGCCUGAAAGUUCUCCACAUUGACAGGAAUGACUAUUACGGUGGGCCCUGGGCUUCCUUCAAUCUGCAAGGCGUUGACAAGUGGAUUAUUCAGAAACAGCAGAGUGCAUCAUUUUGUUGCCAACCACUUGACUCUGAUCAUCUGUUGACCUUGGUGAAGGAAGGGGAAAAGCUUCUGGAACUUCCAGGAACAUACACCAGUGUCUUGGAACCCCAGUCACACUACCAUGUGGAUAAACGACCAGAGAUAAAUGAGGAAAAGAUUGCCGAGGACACACAAGACAUGAAUGUUAGCAUUCAGAGACAGGAGAACAAUAAUACUUUACCACAGAGUGCUUCAUCUGAAUAUGAUGGUGAAAAGGACAAACCAGGACAAAAGCCAAGUGUUGUUGAGACAGCCCAAAGUAAAGAAGGGGCUUUAGGUGGUGGAUCUAAAGAGGGAACAACUGCUGAGGAAAGUGUUGCCAAAGACUUUGAUGGUCAGUUUAGCUCUGCUUCAGAAGAGGAUGGAGAAUCAGCAGACACCCCAACUGUUGACAAGGAGACAUCUCCAUCAGAUGUGGUUGAUUACAUACCAACAAAAGACAAACAGGAAAGGCAGUGUGAGUGGUUUGCUGAUGACAUAUGUAAAGAGUGGAGGAGAUACAGCAUAGACCUAGCACCAAAGCUGCUAUACUGUGCCGGAUCUAUGGUGGAACUGCUGAUUGUCUCAGAUGUUGCCAAGUAUUGUGAAUUUCGAACAGUCAGUCGUGUGCUCACAAUGCAUGAUGGGAAACUUGAAAAGGUACCCUGCUCACGAGCAGAUGUAUUCAGCAGCAAAAUCCUGACUUUGCCCGAAAAACGACUGCUCAUGAAAUUCCUGACAUUUGCUGCAGAAUAUGAGCAACAUUCUGAAACCUACCAGGAUUAUUUGGAUAGGCCAUUUGCAGAUUUUCUUGACUCCCAGAAACUGACUACCAGGAUCAAACAUUUUGUGAUGGAAGCUAUUGCCAUGGUACUUCCCUCCUCUUCUACACAAGAGGGCUUGGCCAGCACACAGAAGUUCCUCCGUUCUCUGGGUCGUUAUGGUAACACAGCUUUUUUGUUUCCACUGUAUGGCAGUGGAGAACUUCCUCAGGGCUUUUGCAGGCUUUCUGCAGUGUUUGGAGGUUGCUACUGUCUUACUUUGUCAGCUUUACAUCUUGUCAUCACAGAGGCAGAUAACAGAUGUAUAGGUAUUAUCACAAAUGGUGGUCAGAGAAUCAACUGCAAAUACCUCAUAGGAGACCCAAGUUAUAUGCCAUCAGAUUUCUACAUUCAUGACAACAGGAAUAUCAGUCGAGGGAUAUUUGUGACAGAUAGAACUAUCUUUCCUGGAGCUGAAGAGGAGCGAGGAAAAUGCUACAGCAACUACUGUGCUGGAGUUACCUUCUUCUGCCAUGGUUUGUCAAGGCAGUACAUAUCUUGUUCAUCUAACAUGUAGUGCUAGGGCUGAUGCUGCAACAGAUUUAAAGCCUGCCGCCAACACACUUUUUGACAUGUGUCCUCAGCAGACAGAUGACUGUGCAGAAGUGGGAAAGAGAAAGCCCAGGGUACUCUGGUCACUUUUUUUCAAGCAGGUAGAUUUAUCAAAUAUCACAGCCACAGAGAAGGUACCAGAGAAUUUGUUUAUUGUGUGCGGGCCUGGAGCUGAG
Molecule: unclassified non-coding RNA, 1904 nt
Filed under: Pomacea canaliculata
Lineage: Eukaryota; Metazoa; Mollusca; Gastropoda; Architaenioglossa; Ampullariidae
Description: rab proteins geranylgeranyltransferase component A 2- like, transcript variant X3
Source: RNAcentral